RNAcentral lists this ribosomal RNA (473 nucleotides) under uncultured organism. RNAcentral describes it as "partial 16S ribosomal RNA". It matches the Rfam family "Bacterial small subunit ribosomal RNA", at positions 335 to 799 of the family's 1533-position model. The record is from RNAcentral.
ACUCCUGCGGGAGGCAGCAGUGGGGAAUUUUGGACAAUGGGCGAAAGCCUGAUCCAGCCAUGCCGCGUGCAGGAUGAAGGCCUUCGGGUUGUAAACUGCUUUUGUACGGAACGAAACGGCCUUUUCUAAUAAAGAGGGCUAAUGACGGUACCGUAAGAAUAAGCACCGGCUAACUACGUGCCAGCAGCCGCGGUAAUACGUAGGGUGCAAGCGUUAAUCGGAAUUACUGGGCGUAAAGCGUGCGCAGGCGGUUAUGUAAGACAGUUGUGAAAUCCCCGGGCUCAACCUGGGAACUGCAUCUGUGACUGCAUAGCUAGAGUACGGUAGAGGGGGAUGGAAUUCCGCGUGUAGCAGUGAAAUGCGUAGAUAUGCGGAGGAACACCGAUGGCGAAGGCAAUCCCCUGGACCUGUACUGACGCUCAUGCACGAAAGCGUGGGGAGCAAACAGGAUUAGAAACCCGGGUAGUCCCAUG